AUUGAACGCUGGCGGCAUGCUUUACACAUGCAAGUCGAACGGUAACAGGUUAAGCUGACGAGUGGCGAACGGGUGAGUAAUGCAUCGGAACGUGCCCGGUCGUGGGGGAUAACGCAGCGAAAGCUGCGCUAAUACCGCAUACGAUCUGAGGAUGAAAGCGGGGGACCGUAAGGCCUCGCGCGAUCGGAGCGGCCGAUGUCAGAUUAGGUAGUUGGUGGGGUAAAGGCUCACCAAGCCGACGAUCUGUAGCCGGUCUGAGAGGACGAUCAUCCACACUGGGACUGAGACACGGCCCAGACUCCUACGGGAGGCAGCAGUGGGGAAUCUUGCGCAAUGGGCGAAAGCCUGACGCAGCGACGCCGCGUGCGGGAAGAAGGCCUUCGGGUUGUAAACCGCUUUCAGGAGGGACGAAGCCACUCGGGUGAACAGCCCAGAGGGUGACGGUACCUCCAGAAGAAGCCCCGGCUAACUACGUGCCAGCCGCCGCCGUAA
This 492-nucleotide ribosomal RNA is filed under the name uncultured bacterium. Its description in RNAcentral is "partial 16S ribosomal RNA". It matches the Rfam family "Bacterial small subunit ribosomal RNA", at positions 29 to 523 of the family's 1533-position model. The record is from RNAcentral.